RNAcentral lists this non-coding RNA (45 nucleotides) under Trichobilharzia regenti. The record is from RNAcentral. Lineage: Eukaryota; Metazoa; Platyhelminthes; Trematoda; Strigeidida; Schistosomatidae.
AUCCAGAUGACUAGUCCCAAAUAGGACGUAAUGCGCACCCUGGAU